GACGUAGGGGGCCAGCGUUGUUCGGAAUUACUGGGUGUAAAGGGUUCGUAGGCGGUGUGGCAAGUCGGGAGUGAAAUCUCUGGGCUCAACCCAGAGACUGCUUCCGAAACUGCUGUGCUGGAGUGUGGGAGAGGCGCGUGGAAUUGCAGGUGUAGCGGUGAAAUGCGUAGAUAUCUGCAGGAACACCCGUGGCGAAAGCGGCGCGCUGGACCACUACUGACGCUGAGGAACGAAAGCUAGGGGAGCAAACAGG
RNAcentral lists this ribosomal RNA (253 nucleotides) under uncultured bacterium. RNAcentral describes it as "partial 16S ribosomal RNA". It matches the Rfam family "Bacterial small subunit ribosomal RNA", at positions 524 to 776 of the family's 1533-position model. The record is from RNAcentral.